UACGAAGGGGGCUAGCGUUGCUCGGAAUCACUGGGCGUAAAGCGCACGUAGGCGGCUUCUUAAGUCAGGGGUGAAAUCCCGGGGCUCAACCUCGGAACUGCCUUUGAUACUGCAAAUCUCGAGUCCGGAAGAGGUGAGUGGAAUUCCUAGUGUAGAGGUGAAAUUCGUAGAUAUUAGGAAGAACACCAGUGGCGAAGGCGGCCUGCUGGGCAGUAGCUGACGCUGAUGCGCGACAGCGUGGGGAGCAAACAGG
RNAcentral lists this ribosomal RNA (253 nucleotides) under uncultured bacterium. RNAcentral describes it as "partial 16S ribosomal RNA". It matches the Rfam family "Bacterial small subunit ribosomal RNA", at positions 524 to 776 of the family's 1533-position model. The record is from RNAcentral.